CAUGCCUUCUGCUUCAGUUCCGCCAGGUUCUUGCAGGCAAUCCCGUACUUCUGCUCGAUGUGUAAUGUCCUGGUUUGUAACACCGGAUCUUUUUUCUCGGCGGAGGUACAGCUACUAUACCAUUCUUAUCUCCUGACACGCAUGCUCACUCCUUCCCUGCGCUCUGCCGCAUAACCAAGCGCUCCGGUUCGCAGCCGAACUCCAUCUCCCAGAAUGCUUUGCUUCAAGUCAUUUUGCGCUUGCGCAGUACUUGGGUUGUUGUCAAGCGGUGGUUAUGGAGAUGGGAGAGAAGGAGCGGUGGAACGGGGGCCGGUUCUGUGUAUCGCCUCUGGGACUCGGCCGCUGAUAUUUUGUGCAGCGAUUAAAACUCAGGCCUUGCGACAGAAAGUCCGUCAGGCCUUAGGAGCGGUGAAGUUUGUUUUGUGCUGUGAAUAACUCUGCUUGAACCGGGGGGAUUAUUGCGUGACCUGAAGGAGUUCCCGGCAUUCGCCGCUUCCUGUCUCGUAGCGUCAAGGGCUUUAGAGUCCGGACCUGCAUAAUGCCCCACAAGCUUGGAUUUGUUGUUGUAAGUUCAUCUGGGCAUGAAGAUGGAUUUAGUGCCAAAGAGUUGAUGGUCCAUGCUCCCACUGUCAGUGGCUGGAGAUCUCCAAGGCAGUUUCUAGCAAAAACACAGACAAAAAGUCUCCAAAGAAGUUGGAAAAUGAUGAAAAGGGUCUGAUGGAAUCUGAUGAACAGGAAUUCAUAAGCAAAACCGACAACAUAGCGUCUAAUGAAAGCAAUGCUGGAAACGUUAAUACAUGUCCUUCUGCAUCCCCCUUUUCUGAUUUGAAUGAGGUUUCACGUAAUGGCUUAACAGAUGACCGUGAGGAUGGAGUAGGGUUUAGUCACAAAACAUCCUCUGAGCCCUCUAAAGUAAGAGAGGUUUAUCUGAAUGGCAGUCCAUUUGUAGAUGAAGACAGCAAUCAACCGAUGCCUCUGGGGCUCUUUUUUGAAAAUGCAGAUCUAAUGCAGGACCUGCUGUGCCUUGUUGUGCUUCGAUGCGCAGAAGAGAGUUCAGAAACCUGCAUUUUAGAGCAAAGGAAGAGGAGGAAGAUGAUGAUGAUGAUGACUAUGCUGACGGCUUGGUUAAUGAAGGAAAUAUUUAAAUAAGGAUUCUGCAGAGCCAAGCUUGAAUGUGUGUGUCCGGGGGAAUCCAGAAGUAUAAAUAUUUGUCCCAAUCCUAAACUUCAGAGUCAUGUAAUAAGACACGAAGAACAAUGUUGAUUCAUUAGAGUCUUUAUUAACGUAAUAUUUUAUAUUAAACUCAAAAUGAAGUAGGCUGUUUAAGCCUAAUUUUUCCCCCCCUCCUUGGACCCAACACACUCCCUAGCUAAACCUGACAACUUGCAAUGGUUUGUUUCCACAAGGUAUUUAGCUGUAAAUGUGAGUUGUACAAAUCAAAAAAAAGUUUCUGGAGCUGGGAAUGGAUUUGUGGUAUUUUGAUGUAUAGUAAUUUACAUUUAAUAGGAUACAUCUAGAUCUUCUACAAGUGGUUUAUAUGCGGUAGAUCCUAAACAUAUCUUAGUGCAGCUUUUUUUCUCUCCUUCGAUUGCUUGUGUAAAUUGUUUUUAUUAAAUAAUUUGAAUUUUAAAAAGCUUUAUUCUGAACUGACACCAAAUAACACGGUAAGGCAUAGAUGUAAAAUUAAAUUUUAAGACAGCACUGUAGAAACACUGGUGCCAAAUGAGGUUACAUCUAAACGGUUUAUUAGUGCAUCAAACAUGAACUCUCACGUUCCCCUGGACUCACAAGUAACGUAGCAGCUGCAUGGACAAUGUUUGUAUAGAAUCUCUUUUCUUCUGAGUAUGUUUAUAAAACACCAGAAAAUAUAAGUGCAAUUAUUCUUACUUGUAUCAUAACCAAAGAUAUACAAACUGUUAAGCAAGGAAUAAGAGAUAAAAUUUGAAUUUCCCAAAACUUCAGCAUUUCUAAAAGAAAUCGUACACUUCUAAAAAAAAUGGCAAUGACAAAAUCCAGGAACUCAAGACAGUUCUUAAUAUCUAAAAUGUCAAAUAUUAUAACGCCAGAAAUUAAUGUGUUAAUUUGUAAUAGUUUGAAAGUGCCUGAAAAUCAUUUGUAUGUCACUGGCCCUGACAAAAAUCAAUUACUUAAAGGGGUUGUUCACCUUUAAAUUUACUUUUAGUAUGAUGAUAUUCUGAUACAAUUUACUCUUGGUUUACUUUUUUUUUAUUAUGUUUAUAAUUUUUAAGUUAUUUAGCUUUUUAUUCAGCAGUUCUCUACUUUUCUGUUUCAGCAAUCUGGUUGCUAUUGUCUCAAUUACCCUAACAACCAUUCAUUGAUUUGAACAUGAGACUGCAGUAUGAAUUGGAGAAGGCCUGCAUAGAAAGAUGAGUAAUAAAAGUAGCAAUGACAAUAAAUGUGUAGCCUUACAGAGCAUUUGAUUUUUAGAUGGGGUCAGUGACCCCCAUUUGAAAAUUGUAAAGAGUUAGAGGAAGAGGCCAUAAUCAAAAAAAUACAGAAAAAUAACCCAGAAAAAAUGAAGGCCAAUUCAAAUGUUGCUUAGAAUUCGCCAUUCUAUACAAUACUAAAAUAUGAUUUAAAGAUAAUUCACCUUUAAGUUAAGACCCCUCCCAAACGUCACUGCUGUCUCCAGUACAGUCCUGUUUGCUCUACCUGUUCCCAAAUAGCAGAGUAGCACAGCAGGGGUUAAGGGUGUAGGCAAUUAUUUGAAGAGAAGAUUGAGUGAUGCAAGAUGGAGCCAACAACCCCUGCUGUACUCCUCUGUCGUUUGGAAACAGGUAGGGCACAAUAGGUAGGGUCCUUACCUAAUGAAAUGACAUUCAUAUUCCAUUCAUAUUUCCAUUUUUCUUUUUAAUGGGAUAUUUUACACACAUUUAUUUACAUGCUUGGUUCAUAAACCAGUUUAUAUACAGGUCCUUUUCAACUUAGGCCUCCAGUUUUGCUUUCUGUAAUAAUAUAAACUAUUCUAUUAUCUACUUACACAAUUAGAAUAUUCUGAUUAAUGCAAACAGAAUGGGGGACUCCUUUCCCAGUCUUGAGAUACACUGGAAUAUAAGGGAAGCGAUUAGAAAGAUUUAUAACAAAUCUUUAAUGUUGAGUUUAUUUGCUGAUCAGAAUUAUAAAUAUGCACAAAAUCUGUUAAGGAUCCGUCCUGUGUAUUGACAAAUAACGUCAGGUAACUUGUAAUUGGUAUAUAAGGGUGUUUUUUGUUAAAGACUGUACUAGUGAUUUGGGCUUGUCCUGCAUUUCUGGUACAUUUCAUUUCUUGUAGAGGCCCAAAGGGCACAUGUAAUUUAUGUUGACAACACGCUUUAUGACCAAAAUAAAUAUUGAUUGUUCUGUA
This is a long non-coding RNA of Xenopus laevis (African clawed frog), 3364 nucleotides long. RefSeq lists it as uncharacterized. The record is from RefSeq and is a predicted model, not a curated record. The transcript is spliced from 5 exons. Lineage: Eukaryota; Metazoa; Chordata; Amphibia; Anura; Pipidae.